GAGGCGAACCGGGGGAACUGAAACAUCUAAGUACCCCGAGGAAAAGAAAUCAACCGAGAUUCCCCCAGUAGCGGCGAGCGAACGGGGAGGAGCCCAGAGCCUGAAUCAGUGUGUGUGUUAGUGGAAGCGUCUGGAAAGGCGUGCGAUACAGGGUGACAGCCCCGUACACAAAAAUGCACAUGCUGUGAGCUCGAUGAGUAGGGCGGGACACGUGGUAUCCUGUCUGAAUAUGGGGGGACCAUCCUCCAAGGCUAAAUACUCCUGACUGACCGAUAGUGAACCAGUACCGUGAGGGAAAGGCGAAAAGAACCCCGGCGAGGGGAGUGAAAAAGAACCUGAAACCGUGUACGUACAAGCAGUGGGAGCACAGAGCAAUCUGUGUGACUGCGUACCUUUUGUAUAAUGGGUCAGCGACUUAUAUUCUGUAGCAAGGUUAACCGAAUAGGGGAGCCGAAGGGAAACCGAGUCUUAACUGGGCGUUAAGUUGCAGGGUAUAGACCCGAAACCCGGUGAUCUAGCCAUGGGCAGGUUGAAGGUUGGGUAACACUAACUGGAGGACCGAACCGACUAAUGUUGAAAAAUUAGCGGAUGACUUGUGGCUGGGGGUGAAAGGCCAAUCAAACCGGGAGAUAGCUGGUUCUCCCCGAAAGCUAUUUAGGUAGCGCCUCGUGAAUUCAUCUCCGGGGGUAGAGCACUGUUUCGGCAAGGGGGUCAUCCCGACUUACCAACCCGAUGCAAACUGCGAAUACCGGAGAAUGUUAUCACGGGAGACACACGGCGGGUGCUAACGUCCGUCGUGAAGAGGGAAACAACCCAGACCGCCAGCUAAGGUCCCAAAGUCAUGGUUAAGUGGGAAACGAUGUGGGAAGGCCCAGACAGCCAGGAUGUUGGCUUAGAAGCAGCCAUCAUUUAAAGAAAGCGUAAUAGCUCACUGGUCGAGUCGGCCUGCGCGGAAGAUGUAACGGGGCUAAACCAUGCACCGAAGCUGCGGCAGCGACACUAUGUGUUGUUGGGUAGGGGAGCGUUCUGUAAGCCUGUGAAGGUGUGCUGUGAGG
Molecule: ribosomal RNA, 1055 nt
Filed under: Escherichia coli
Lineage: Bacteria; Pseudomonadati; Pseudomonadota; Gammaproteobacteria; Enterobacterales; Enterobacteriaceae
Description: partial 23S ribosomal RNA
Rfam family: Bacterial large subunit ribosomal RNA
Source: RNAcentral